RNAcentral lists this ribosomal RNA (305 nucleotides) under uncultured bacterium. Its description in RNAcentral is "bacterial SSU rRNA". It matches the Rfam family "Bacterial small subunit ribosomal RNA", at positions 333 to 655 of the family's 1533-position model. The record is from RNAcentral.
UUUUGCCUACGGGACGCAGCAGUGGGGAAUAUUGCACAAUGGGGGAAACCCUGAUGCAGCGACGCCGCGUGAGUGAAGAAGUAUUUCGGUAUGUAAAGCUCUAUCAGCAGGGAAGAGAAUGACGGUACCUGAGUAAGAAGCCCCGGCUAACUACGUGCUAGCAGCCGCGGUAAUACGUAGGGGGCAAGCGUUAUCCGGAUUUACUGGGUGUAAAGGGAGCGUAGACGGCGAAGAAAGUCUGAAGUGAAAGCCCGCGGCUCACCCGCGGAACUGCUUUGGAAACUUUUUUGCUGGAGUACAGGAGG